GACAGAGGUUGCAAACGUUGUUCGGAUUUACUGGGCGUAAAGGGCGCGUAGGCGGCAAAUUAAGUCAGCUGUGAAAUCUCCGAGCUUAACUCGGAACGGUCAGCUGAUACUGAUCUGCUAGAGUGCGGAAGGGGCAAUCGGAAUUCUUGGUGUAGCGGUGAAAUGCGUAGAUAUCAAGAGGAACACCUGAGGUGAAGACGGGUUGCUGGGCCGACACUGACGCUGAGUGCGCGAAAGCCAGGGGAGCAAACGGG
Molecule: ribosomal RNA, 254 nt
Filed under: uncultured bacterium
Lineage: Bacteria
Description: partial 16S ribosomal RNA
Rfam family: Bacterial small subunit ribosomal RNA
Source: RNAcentral